GAUGAACGCUAGCGGCAGGCUUAACACAUGCAAGUCGAGGGGUAUCACGCUUUCGGGCGUGAGAGACCGGCGCACGGGUGCGUAACGCGUAUGCAAUCUACCUUUUGCAGAGGGAUAGCCCAGAGAAAUUUGGAUUAAUACCUCAUAGUAUAGAACAAUCGCAUGAUUGAGCUAUUAAAGUCACAACGGCAAAAGAUGAGCAUGCGUCCCAUUAGUUAGUUGGUAAGGUAACGGCUUACCAAGACUACGAUGGGUAGGGGUCCUGAGAGGGAGAUCCCCCACACUGGUACUGAGACACGGACCAGACUCCUACGGGAGGCAGCAGUGAGGAAUAUUGGACAAUGGGCGCAAGCCUGAUCCAGCCAUGCCGCGUGCAGGAUGACGGUCCUAUGGAUUGUAAACUGCUUUGUACAGGAAGAAACACUCCUCGUGAGGGAGCUUGACGGUACUGUAAGAAUAAGGAUCGGCUAACUACGUG
RNAcentral lists this ribosomal RNA (478 nucleotides) under uncultured bacterium. RNAcentral's name for it is "bacterial SSU rRNA". It matches the Rfam family "Bacterial small subunit ribosomal RNA", at positions 28 to 507 of the family's 1533-position model. The record is from RNAcentral.